This is a microRNA precursor of Pan paniscus (pygmy chimpanzee), 99 nucleotides long. The record is from Ensembl. Lineage: Eukaryota; Metazoa; Chordata; Mammalia; Primates; Hominidae.
GAGGUGUGAGGAUUGCUUGAGCCCAGGAGGUUGAGGCUGCAGUGAGCUAUGAUUGGACCACUGCACUCCAGCCUGAGUGACAGAGAAAGACCCUGUCUC